Molecule: non-coding RNA, 290 nt
Organism: Cajanus cajan (pigeon pea)
Lineage: Eukaryota; Viridiplantae; Streptophyta; Magnoliopsida; Fabales; Fabaceae
Source: RefSeq, a predicted model, not a curated record
UUCUUCUGGUUGGAAUCAUUUCAAAGAUGACUCAUUGCUUCACUGUAAGUUAUUUUACGCACUUUUCUUCCUUCCGAUUUGGGGUUCACUCGAGAGUAAGAGAGUGAUGUUGCAGUGCAUAUUUCUCGUCUCAGAUGCCGGAGAGUUAAUGCUGGAGAAGCAGCUCACGGGGCACCGCCUGGAUCGCUCCAUUUGUGCCUGGUUCUGGGAACAAACCAUUUCACUAGGCGACUCCUUCAAGCAACAACCAGUGAUUGCCUCUCCCACGCAUUAUAUUUUCCAGUAUUUUU